Erinaceus europaeus (western European hedgehog) is the source of this 124-nucleotide ribosomal RNA. The record is from Ensembl. NCBI's taxonomy places the organism in Eukaryota, Metazoa, Chordata, Mammalia, Eulipotyphla, Erinaceidae.
UUGAACAGCCACACCACCCUGAACAUGCCCGAUCUCGUGAUCUCCGAAGCUAAGCAGGGUCAGGCCUGGUUAGUACUUAGUACUUGGAUGAGAGAAUUGAACUUAGAACCUCUGGUGCCUCAGG